This 388-nucleotide long non-coding RNA is filed under the name Apteryx owenii (little spotted kiwi). Its description in RNAcentral is "lncRNA (ENSAOWG00000000356.1)". Lineage: Eukaryota; Metazoa; Chordata; Aves; Apterygiformes; Apterygidae. The record is from RNAcentral.
GGAAGCCGAGAGAAGAAGCUCACAAUAUUUCAGCAGCCAGCUGGGCACUGAACUACCCUUCCUAUCCAAAGUUGACAGAGAUGAAAAAGAACAGGAAAUACAGGUUCUGCUGGAGAUCAGACAGGCACUGGAAAAGCUGAUGCAGUUCAUCAAAAAAAUGCAACUGCAAGAAGACCGAUUACAAAUGCAGCUGACAGAGAACGAAAAGCAAGGGGGCCACUUCUUGAACACUGAGACAGCAACAACCCCGAAGCUCAGAAAGGUCAUACUUGCCCUAGCCUCUGAGUUUCAGGAACGCAUACUGAAACAACAAGCCAGUGUGGAGACUGCAUAUACCAAACUGGAAUAUGUGAGGGACUUGUCAACUAUCCAGACCCAGCAGGCAAAG